Molecule: ribosomal RNA, 500 nt
Filed under: uncultured Glomeromycotina
Lineage: Eukaryota; Fungi; Glomeromycota
Description: partial small subunit ribosomal RNA
Rfam family: Eukaryotic small subunit ribosomal RNA
Source: RNAcentral
CCAAUAGCGUAUAUUAAAGUUGUUGCAGUUAAAAAGCUCGUAGUUGAAUUUCGGGGUCAGUAGGUUGGUCAUGCCACUGGUAUGUACUGGUCUCACUGAUUCCUCCUUCCUGAUGAACUGUAAUGCCAUUAAUUUGGUGUUGCAGGGAAUCUGGACUGUUACUUUGAAAAAAUUAGAGUGUUUAAAGCAGGCUAACGCCUGAAUACAUUAGCAUGGAAUAAUGAAAUAGGACGUUCGAUCCUAUUUUGUUGGUUUCUAGGAUUGACGUAAUGAUUAAUAGGGAUAGUUGUGGGCAUUAGUAUUCAAUUGUCAGAGUUGAAAUUCUUGGAUUUAUUGAAGACUAACUACUGCGAAAGCAUUUGCCAAGGAUGUUUUCAUUAAUCAAGAACGAAAGUUAGGGGAUCGAAGACGAUCAGAUACCGUCGUAGUCUUAACCAUAAACUAUGCCGACUAGGGAUCGGAUGAUGUUAAUUUUUUAAUGACUCAUUCGGCGCCUUACG